GGGGGUGAAUGGUCUCGACUGCGGUCGGAUGACCAGGGGAAGCGAGCCGAGGAAGCCGACGAUGAGCUCGUUAACCACGCGUCGGGAACAACACAAGCGCCGACUCCAGUCAGCGCGAGUUCGCCCUCGCUGCCUGAUAGCAGCGUAGGCGACUCUGUCAGCCCGGGUUCGUCAUCGGCCCGGAUCCUGGCAUCAGCUAGAUGACUCACCGUGCGUGCCGGUCGCGGGUGCGCGCGGGACACCGCACAGCGACUGGGCCCGUCAUCCCGUCUCGUCCGUGAGAUCGGGAGGGCCGAGCAGAGACGGAGCGGACUGCGCUCGGAGAAGCCCUGGCCUUGCGUCGUAGGACGCGGGUUCGAUUCCCGCCACCUCCACCA
This 377-nucleotide transfer-messenger RNA is filed under the name Geodermatophilaceae. Its description in RNAcentral is "Geodermatophilus sp003319115 Standard tmRNA". It matches the Rfam family "transfer-messenger RNA". From Rfam's summary of the family: Bacterial tmRNA, also known as 10Sa RNA or SsrA, is named for its dual tRNA and mRNA-like properties. Lineage: Bacteria; Bacillati; Actinomycetota; Actinomycetes; Geodermatophilales. RNAcentral also lists the same sequence under 1 other name. The record is from RNAcentral.